AGAGUUUGAUCAUGGCUCAGAUUGAACGCUGGCGGCAGGCCUAACACAUGCAAGUCGAGCGGUAGCACAGAGAGCUUGCUCUCGGGUGACGAGCGGCGGACGGGUGAGUAAUGUCUGGGAAACUGCCUGAUGGAGGGGGAUAACUACUGGAAACGGUAGCUAAUACCGCAUAAUGUCGCAAGACCAAAGUGGGGGACCUUCGGGCCUCAUGCCAUCAGAUGUGCCCAGAUGGGAUUAGCUAGUAGGUGGGGUAACGGCUCACCUAGGCGACGAUCCCUAGCUGGUCUGAGAGGAUGACCAGCCACACUGGAACUGAGACACGGUCCAGACUCCUACGGGAGGCAGCAGUGGGGAAUAUUGCACAAUGGGCGCAAGCCUGAUGCAGCCAUGCCGCGUGUGUGAAGAAGGCCUUCGGGUUGUAAAGCACUUUCAGCGGGGAGGAAGGCGGUGAGGUUAAUAACCUCACCGAUUGACGUUACCCGCAGAAGAAGCACCGGCUAACUCCGUGCCAGCAGCCGCGGUAAUACGGAGGGUGCAAGCGUUAAUCGGAAUUACUGGGCGUAAAGCGCACGCAGGCGGUCUGUCAAGUCGGAUGUGAAAUCCCCGGGCUCAACCUGGGAACUGCAUUCGAAACUGGCAGGCUAGAGUCUUGUAGAGGGGGGUAGAAUUCCAGGUGUAGCGGUGAAAUGCGUAGAGAUCUGGAGGAAUACCGGUGGCGAAGGCGGCCCCCUGGACAAAGACUGACGCUCAGGUGCGAAAGCGUGGGGAGCAAACAGGAUUAGAUACCCUGGUAGUCCACGCCGUAAACGAUGUCGAUUUGGAGGUUGUGCCCUUGAGGCGUGGCUUCCGGAGCUAACGCGUUAAAUCGACCGCCUGGGGAGUACGGCCGCAAGGUUAAAACUCAAAUGAAUUGACGGGGGCCCGCACAAGCGGUGGAGCAUGUGGUUUAAUUCGAUGCAACGCGAAGAACCUUACCUGGUCUUGACAUCCACAGAACUUUCCAGAGAUGGAUUGGUGCCUUCGGGAACUGUGAGACAGGUGCUGCAUGGCUGUCGUCAGCUCGUGUUGUGAAAUGUUGGGUUAAGUCCCGCAACGAGCGCAACCCUUAUCCUUUGUUGCCAGCGGUCCGGCCGGGAACUCAAAGGAGACUGCCAGUGAUAAACUGGAGGAAGGUGGGGAUGACGUCAAGUCAUCAUGGCCCUUACGACCAGGGCUACACACGUGCUACAAUGGCAUAUACAAAGAGAAGCGACCUCGCGAGAGCAGGCGGACCUCAUAAAGUAUGUCGUAGUCCGGAUUGGAGUCUGCAACUCGACUCCAUGAAGUCGGAAUCGCUAGUAAUCGUAGAUCAGAAUGCUACGGUGAAUACGUUCCCGGGCCUUGUACACACCGCCCGUCACACCAUGGGAGUGGGUUGCAAAAGAAGUAGGUAGCUUAACCUUCGGGAGGGCGCUUACCACUUUGUGAUUCAUGACUGGGGUGAAGUCGUAACAAGGUAACCGUAGGGGAACCUGCGGUUGGAUCACCU
RNAcentral lists this ribosomal RNA (1528 nucleotides) under Klebsiella pneumoniae. RNAcentral's name for it is "bacterial SSU rRNA". It matches the Rfam family "Bacterial small subunit ribosomal RNA". Lineage: Bacteria; Pseudomonadati; Pseudomonadota; Gammaproteobacteria; Enterobacterales; Enterobacteriaceae. The record is from RNAcentral.